UUCUGCUCCAGGCUGACUAUCUGUGACAUCCUGGGAAAACAUUGAUGGCUUUUAAGAACCCACAACCACUUUUCCCAUUAGACUAAGUAUGAUUUGCAGAUUACAGCAAAAUCUGAGAGUCCAAACAGGAUAUGAGAACCAUCUCUCUGCUAACAGCUAAUAGUGUAUGGAUUGAACCUUGAAUGCAAAAUGAUCGACAUUCAGUGGCUGGGGAACAAAGUGAAUGAGAGAUAAUAUGAAGGACACAUGGAUCCAACAGGAUGCAUAUGGAACAAGACUGUGUUUUGGCUCGGACACACAUGGUAUGAUGUAACAACAAUGGUAUGAUGUAAUCCACCGAGGCUAGACCUCAGAACCCAUUAUAGUGGCAGAUAAUAGAUCUUUGGCCACAGUGCUGUUACAAUGGACUUCUGUAGCCUGGCCAACCACAAGGAGUUUGUUACAGUGGAACAUCUCAUCUUCUGUUGGAGAAAGGUGGCUGCUGAAGCUCCUGUAAUGUCUGCUGGGAUAGCCAUGUUUACCACCCUCAACCUCAGGCUGUUCCCCAUUGAGAGCUUCAUGCCCAACAAGGGUGCAGCACACCGAAUCCCCCCUGAUUCAGGAGCUCAUGUAAACAACCUGCGGGCAGCACCUCCUCUCCCCAGACUGUACCCGGUUACUAAGAUCUCAUACUGCUCCCAUAAAGAACACCUCCAGAUUUCUCCAGAAGUCUUUUUUAUUUCUUUUACAGGGACAUCUGUAAACUCAGCUGUGUUGGAUUGCGACAUGGCCUUUAUCAGAAAAUUGGGGUGUGCAGUUAAGCCAUCUAUAUACAGGAGAUUACAUGCCUCAUUGCUCCCGUCCUCCAUCACAGACUGAGCAGAGCAUAUGCAUUGAGUUGCGCUGUGUUUACCACAACCACGCGGUCUCUCCAUUACAGAAGAACGCUGUGAUGACAGGUAUUCCAGUCCCUGAUUUUGAGCCCUGUUAUGACAUCUCUCCUCCCUUCUCCACCCACCUGCUUCUUAACGCUGGUCCUUGACUUAAUGUGGCCGUCAUGGUGACUGUCUAGGACAGAUGAGAGCUAAUUGAAAUAGAAGGCUGCUUCUCACUGAUCUAGACUGACAGCAUCCCCUCGCCAGAAGUGACUGUACCACCCCAUGCUGGCAGUUUUCACAGUGAAAGAAAAGUGUGUGGUGGUGAAAAAGGCAGGCUGUGCUGCGAGUACUUGGGCUGCCUGCCAAAGCUGCCGGAUGAGUUUAUUAAAAACAAGAAGAGAGAUGCAUAUAUUUCCAUUUUGUACCCUCAAAGAAUAAUAGCAAGGUUUUGAGCUAUGUGCUGCGAAGGACUGACCCUUUCCGACAUACUAUCAGCGAUCACAAUGAGCCAGGCUCGGGGAUGGAGCGAAUAGCGCAGCACACAGUCUAAAUAAUUUCACAUGCCGGGCAUGUCAGUUUUGAUGUAAUGAGCUCUGAUUUUGUCAUCCAGUGCUGUGCAGAUAGGUUAAUCAUUUUCAUUAACACCACCUCCUCUGAGAGACCUUUUCCUCUCCAGUGCUGUCAGCGGUACGUUGGCUUGGCGAGCGCUCAGACCCCGGCGCCCCUCAGAUGUGUUAGUCUAGUGCCAGAAAAGACUGAAUCGAUGCACACAGACAGGCAAGGACCCCUCAGCGGGCCCUGAGUGGACGGCUGUGAUUACUGCUGACAAUAAUUUAUGGGCCUGGCUGAUUGAAAACAUGAGAGAUGUAGUUAGAGUUGCAAGGGUGAUUAGGCACCACCUUAAGAUACAAAGAUGGUGUCACAGCUGCUGCUGGGAGAAAGUCUGCAGCCGUUCGCCGCAUGCCUUCUGCCCUGCAGUAAAAACCGGAAUUGCACCCCACGUCUGUGCCCCCUGCCAGCCCAUACACAUGCGCAUAGAACUGAUUAUAUUGCAUUAAACUGUUCUUGUGCAUCAUUUUUUAUUCUGCCUUUUUACAUUAGAAUCAAAGUUCCAUAUGUAGAUUUGGUGAGAGUAGAUAACAUGCAUUUAUUCCUAUGGUUUUGAGGAAAUCAUUCAUAGUCAAAAUCAUUCAUUUGCUGUAAACUGUGAACUCUUUAUCAUAAUACACAAUCCUCAACACUUCAGAUCUGCUUUCAGUAACACCUCCAUCCUUUACAUAUUCAUCUGGUCUUUCUCACCCCAGAGGGAGAAUUACCGUGGCUGUAAAACAAUGCCUACACAUCUAAUAUCAUAUUGACUGUUGCAUAUCAAAAAUGUUUUUGUGGUUUCAAUGAAUUUAGUUUGCGUUGUAGACAAUAAAUCAACAUGUAUUUUCAGUGUUCUGUAUUGAGGUUUGAUUUAAAAUUC
Long non-coding RNA from Cyprinus carpio carpio, 2325 nucleotides. The record is from Ensembl. Lineage: Eukaryota; Metazoa; Chordata; Actinopteri; Cypriniformes; Cyprinidae.